CCUACGGGAGGCAGCAGUGAGGAAUAUUGGUCAAUGGACGAGAGUCUGAACCAGCCAAGUAGCGUGAAGGAUGACUGCCCUAUGGGUUGUAAACUUCUUUUAUAUGGGAAUAAAACGUUCCACGUGUGGGAUUUUGUAUGUACCAUAUGAAUAAGGAUCGUCUAACUCCGUGCCAGCAGCCGCGGUAAUACGGAGGAUCCGAGCGUUAUCCGGAUUUAUUGGGUUUAAAGGGAGCGUAGGUGGAUUGUUAAGUCAGUUGUGAAAGUUUGCGGCUCAACCGUAAAAUUGCAGUUGAAACUGGCAGUCUUGAGUACAGUAGAGGUGGGCGGAAUUCGUGGUGUAGCGGUGAAAUGCUUAGAUAUCACGAAGAACUCCGAUUGCGAAGGCAGCUUACUGGACUGCAACUGACACUGAGGCUCGAAAGUGUGGGUAUCAAACAGGAUUAGAUACCCUGGUAGUC
Molecule: ribosomal RNA, 460 nt
Filed under: uncultured bacterium
Lineage: Bacteria
Description: partial 16S ribosomal RNA
Rfam family: Bacterial small subunit ribosomal RNA
Source: RNAcentral